Molecule: RNA transcript, 1431 nt
Organism: Neomonachus schauinslandi (Hawaiian monk seal)
Lineage: Eukaryota; Metazoa; Chordata; Mammalia; Carnivora; Phocidae
Gene name: elongation factor 1-alpha 1-like
Exons: 1
Source: RefSeq, a predicted model, not a curated record
AUGGGAAAGGAAAAGACUCACAUCAACAUUGUCAUCAUUGGCCACGUAGAUUCGGGCAAGUCUACCACUGCUGGUCAUCUGAUCUACAAAUGUGGUGGGAUCGACAAAAGAACUAUGGAAAAUUGGAGGAGGCUGCUGAGAUGGGAAAAGGCUCCUUCAAGUGUGCUUGGGUCUUGGAUAAACUGAAAGCUGAACGUGAAUGUAGUAUCACCAUUGAUAUCUCCCUGUGGAAAUUUGAGGCCAGCAAGUAUUAUGUGACCAUCAUUGAUGCCCCAGGAGACAGAGACUUUAUAAAAAACAUGAUUCUAGGCACAUCUCAGGCUGACUGUGCUGUCCUGAUUGUGGCUGCUGGUGUUGGUGAAUUUGAAGCCAGUAUCUCCAAAAAUGGGCAGACCCAUGAGCAUGCCCUUCUGAGCCACCCUACAGCCAGAAGAGAUAUCAUUAAGGAAAUCGUUAAGGAAAUCAGCACCCAUAUUAAGAAAAUUGGCUACAACCCUGAGACAGUAGCAUUUGUACCAAUUUCUGGUUGGAACGGUGACAACAUGCUGGAGUCAAGUGCUAACAUGCCUUGGUUCAAGGGAUGGAAAGUCACCCAUAAAGAUGGGAAUGCCAGUGGAACCACACUGCUUGAAGCUCUGGAUCGCAUUCUGCCACCAACUCAUCCAACUGACAAGGCCUUGCAUCUGCCUCUCCAGGACGUCUACAAAAUUGGUGGUAUUGGUACUGUCCCUGUGGGCCAAGUGGAGACUAGUGUUCUUAAACCUGACAUGGUAGUCACCUCUGCUCCAGUUGAUGUUAAAUGUUAAAACUGAAGUAAAGUCUGUUGAAAUGCACCAUGAAGCUUUGAGUGAGGCUCUUCCUGGGGACAAUGUGGGCUUCAAUGUCAAGAACGUAUCUGUCAAAGAUGUUCAUUAUCCUGAACCAUCGAGGCCAAAUCAGUGCUGGAUAUGUACCUGUGAUGGAUUGUCACACAGCUCACAUUGCUUGCAAGUUUGCUGAGCUGAAGGAGAAAAUUGAUUGUUAUUCUGGAAAAAAGCUGGAAGAUGGUCCCAAGUUCUUGAAAUCUGGUGAUGCUGCCAUCGUUGAUAGGGUUCCUGGCAAGCCUAUGUGUGUUGAGAGCUUCUCUGUCUAUCCUCCUCUGGGCUGUUUUGCUGUUCGUGACAGAGACAGACGCUUGCUGUGGGUGUCAUCAAAGGAGUGGACAAGAAGGCAGCUAGAGCAGACAAGGUCACUAAGUCUGCCCAGAAAGCUCAGAAGGCUAAAUGAAUAUUAUCCCCAAUACCUGCCACCCCAGUCUUAAUCAGUGGUGGAAGAAUGGUCUCAGAACUGUUUGUGUCAAUUGGCCAUUUAAGUUUAAUAGUAAAAGACUGGUUAAUGAUAACAAUGCAUCGUAAAACCUUCAGAAGGAAAGGAGACUGUUUUGUGGACCAU